AGCGAACGCUGGCGGCAGGCUUAACACAUGCAAGUCGAGCGGGCGUAGCCAUACGUCAGCGGCAGACGGGUGAGUAACGCGUGGGAACGUACCUUUUGGUUCGGAACAACACAGGGAAACUUGUGCUAAUACCGGAUAAGCCCUUACGGGGAAAGAUUUAUCGCCGAAAGAUCGGCCCGCGUCUGAUUAGCUAGUUGGUGAGGUAACGGCUCGCCAAGGCGACGAUCAGUAGCUGGUCUGAGAGGAUGAUCAGCCACAUUGGGACUGAGACACGGCCCAAACUCCUACGGGAGGCAGCAGUGGGGAAUAUUGGACAAUGGGGGCAACCCUGAUCCAGCCAUGCCGCGUGAGUGAUGAAGGCCCUAGGGUUGUAAAGCUCUUUUGUGCGGGAAGAUAAUGACGGUACCGCAAGAAUAAGCCCCGGCUAACUUCGUG
This 435-nucleotide ribosomal RNA is filed under the name uncultured bacterium. Its description in RNAcentral is "partial 16S ribosomal RNA". It matches the Rfam family "Bacterial small subunit ribosomal RNA", at positions 29 to 507 of the family's 1533-position model. The record is from RNAcentral.